UGACUGCUUGACGUCACGUUAUGGAAGUGGGAACACCUGUAGCCUGUAGCGUCACAUGGUGCUACUGGCGCUGCUAACUGGAGGUUAAACCACAGAAACACUGAAACUAAAGACUCCGUUUAGUCGCUAGAGAGCAUGGAUACAUCACAUAAAUCAGAAAGGACGACUUCUAUGCUUUUUGCACGUUGUGUUGUUGCGAUGUGGACUUCAACAGUAAAGAAUAAUAAAGGAUAUAAGACACCAUCAGACGAGUACCAACAGUAAUCAGCAGGUGCGUCGUCUGAUGCAUCAAAUAAAGAUGAGUGCAGCGGACCAAAACUGAGGACGACCUACUACUCAAUUCAUUCACGUCUUUGGCUUCUUCCUGUACUGUAUGAAUGUAAUCGAAGGUGUUAUAAGAGGUUGUAUCGGGACAGGCGCAUUUUCAAUAAAAACCUUAAUUAAAA
Sebastes umbrosus (honeycomb rockfish) is the source of this 446-nucleotide long non-coding RNA. RefSeq lists it as uncharacterized. The record is from RefSeq and is a predicted model, not a curated record. NCBI's taxonomy places the organism in Eukaryota, Metazoa, Chordata, Actinopteri, Perciformes, Sebastidae. The transcript has 2 exons.